UACGGGGGGGGCAAGCGUUGUUCGGAAUUACUGGGCGUAAAGGGUUUGUAGGUGGCCCGCUAAGUCAGCACGUGAAAUCCCUCAGCUUAACUGGGGAACUGCGUGUGAGACUGGCAGGCUCGAGGGCAGGAGAGGAACGCGGAAUUCCAGGUGUAGCGGUGAAAUGCGUAGAUAUCGGAAGGAACACCUGUGGCGAAAGCGGCUCACUGGACCAUUACUGACGCUGAGGCACGAAAGCUAGGGGAGCAAACAGG
RNAcentral lists this ribosomal RNA (254 nucleotides) under uncultured bacterium. Its description in RNAcentral is "partial 16S ribosomal RNA". It matches the Rfam family "Bacterial small subunit ribosomal RNA", at positions 524 to 776 of the family's 1533-position model. The record is from RNAcentral.